GCAUGUUCACAUGAUUAAAGGUAUUCCGGUAGACGAUGGGGAUGCGUUCCAUUAGAUAGUAGGCGGGGUAACGGCCCACCUAGUCUUCGAUGGAUAGGGGUUCUGAGAGGAAGGUCCCCCACAUUGGAACUGAGACACGGUCCAAACUCCUACGGGAGGCAGCAGUGAGGAAUAUUGGUCAAUGGGCGAGAGCCUGAACCAGCCAAGUAGCGUGAAGGAUGACUGCCCUAUGGGUUGUAAACUUCUUUUAUAAAGGAAUAAAGUCGGGUAUGCAUACCCGUUUGCAUGUACUUUAUGAAUAAGGAUCGGCUAACUCCGUGCCAGCAGCCGCGGUAAUACGGAGGAUCCGAGCGUUAUCCGGAUUUAUUGGGUUUAAAGGGAGCGUAGAUGGAUGUUUAAGUCAGUUGUGAAAGUUUGCGGCUCAACCGUAAAAUUGCAGUUGAUACUGGAUAUCUUGAGUGCAGUUGAGGCAGGCGGAAUUCGUGGUGUAGCGGUGAAAUGCUUAGAUAUCACGAAGAACUCCGAUUGCGAAGGCAGCCUGCUAAGCUGCAACUGACAUUGAGGCUCGAAAGUGUGGGUAUCGAACAGGAUUAGAUACCCUGGUAGUCCACACGGUAAACGAUGAAUACUCGCUGUUUGCGAUAUACGGCAAGCGGCC
Molecule: ribosomal RNA, 658 nt
Filed under: uncultured bacterium
Lineage: Bacteria
Description: bacterial SSU rRNA
Rfam family: Bacterial small subunit ribosomal RNA
Source: RNAcentral